CGCCGCCCGGACCCGUCCUGCUGGGGCGCAGGUGCCCCUAGAGGAGGCCGCCCGGGGCCCCCGUCGUAACAUUCCCAUAAUGAAGCCUGUUUGAUGGGAGAUGUAUGUAGAUGCCAGUGGUUUUAGGUGAGUGAAUGACAGACAUAGGAAUAUUGUUUGCACAAUGAUUAAAAACGUUUACGUUUUAGACUUUCUUUUCGUUC
RNAcentral lists this long non-coding RNA (203 nucleotides) under Vombatus ursinus (common wombat). RNAcentral's name for it is "lncRNA (ENSVURG00010015387.1)". Lineage: Eukaryota; Metazoa; Chordata; Mammalia; Diprotodontia; Vombatidae. The record is from RNAcentral.